GAAUCCACCGGGGUGCAGCGAGGCUGUGGAAAGUCCCACCCAGAACGUGAGGUGAAGAAGGCUUGGGCUGCGCUGGUUCUGCUCUGUCCGGGUCGGAGAUGAACUGACCCGGGAGAGCAGCGGAGGGAUGUUUCUUUUGGCCAACAGUGGGGACUCACCUGCACGUUUUGCGAAGAGGCCCACAGUCCUUUGCGUGGCGCUCGGACUACAUUUCCCAACGGCCCCUGCACGCCCUGGGGGCUGUUCCAUGCGGUGUUGCGCCUGCGUAGCCGGCGGGCUGGCAGUGAGACUGACUGCGUCGGGGUUGAGACUGGGUGGAUGAGGCUCACCCCGGCGGGGAGAAGGGACGAGGAGGGGCGGACAGCGGAAGGUCCGGGAGUGUCCGCCAUAAAGUCGUUUGAGGUGACCGUUGCGUAAUUUUUUAACUUCUAGUCAUGGCGAAUGAUCGCAGGAGAGCACAGACUGGACCCUGCUACGAUCUCUCUUGGAGUGGAUCAGACUGAUGAUCACCAACAACCAACUCAUUCCCGGAUAAGGAAGAAGAGAGUGUCACCUACUUCAGUGUGGUUUCAACCCUACUUCUGCAUCUUAAAGACACUUGUACAACGUUGGACACUGUGCAGGAUGAUGCCACUUCAUCUUGGAUGCUAAUCUGCCAUGUUGACUUCUGAUUAACCCCAGGCCCAGGAAUGCCUCAAGAUUUCUACUUUACUUACUGUUGCUUGUGUAAGCCAAGACAACCUUGAUGUUAUCAUAAACAUGUACUUACCUAAGUCCUGUCCUUUGGCAAAUUAUGGGCUAUGAGACACAGCAUUCUUGCCUUUCCCUGAGGGGUCAAUUUCAGCGAUCCUACACAUUCCUUCUGAAGCACUUAUGCUCUUUCUAUAUGGUAUGUAAGCUCUCGGUCUGGGGAGUAACAGUGCAGAGAUCUACCUGUCUUGUUGCCACAUGUUUCUAAACUUUCCAAUAAAUCACCUUCUACUGACAA
RNAcentral lists this long non-coding RNA (988 nucleotides) under Homo sapiens (human). Its description in RNAcentral is "HSALNT0398861". Lineage: Eukaryota; Metazoa; Chordata; Mammalia; Primates; Hominidae. The record is from RNAcentral.